This 383-nucleotide long non-coding RNA is filed under the name Homo sapiens (human). RNAcentral's name for it is "non-protein coding lnc-DDX27-4:1". Lineage: Eukaryota; Metazoa; Chordata; Mammalia; Primates; Hominidae. The record is from RNAcentral.
CGCGCGGGCAAGGAGGGACGCAGACACUCAGGACCUAAAGGGGAAGCACUGGCUGUGGAGCUGCGAGCCGAGAAAGACGCGCAGGUUAUGAACCUGGGUGCGUUCAUCUCGGGGGACCUGAAGGAGAGGGACUCGUGGAGAGUUGAGGGGUGUUUCGGAGGAGGGGCGCAAGGACUGCUCACAGGACUUGAAGGGCGGCAGGAAGGUGGAGGAUUCGGCCCAGGUGCGGGACGCAGGCGGUGGAAGGGAAAUGAGCACAAGAGGCGCAGGCAGGAAGGAGAGCGCCUGGUGCGAGAGAGGAAGGAGCGCACCCAUCCCUGCUUUGAUAACCACAGGCAGCUACGGGAAAGAGUGGGAAAAGUGAGAUAGUCCCAAGAAACAGG